This 406-nucleotide long non-coding RNA is filed under the name Sinocyclocheilus anshuiensis. Its description in RNAcentral is "lncRNA (ENSSANG00000035224.1)". The record is from RNAcentral. Lineage: Eukaryota; Metazoa; Chordata; Actinopteri; Cypriniformes; Cyprinidae.
CGAAGGCAGGUUCACUUUCACGUUCAAAAUGACACCUUUCCAUCUCUGUAAACAACAUGACACCCUCAUGACGCCGCAAUACAUUUGUAUCGUUUUACCGUUAUAAAAGUACAGUUUCUGCAGCUGACAGCUGAAUGACAGACUCAUAAUGUCACUUAACAGCACAUAUUUCAUCCCAACAGGAAAAACAACCGACACACGCUGUGAUAAAGUGAAGGAAUCGACUGUCACGCGACUCACCUAAUAAGGGAUGUUUGGACCGUUACACAACAACAUAAGCAUGUGGACAGACAUUGACUGUAAUGAUGGACAUCUGCUGAUGCACAGGUCCACCUCUCCUCCAUCCCCACAGUCCCCCUCAUCUCUGUUACCACCCCAGGCUUCAUCAAUACUCAUCUCAGCUUGA